UACGUAGGGACCGAGCGUUGUCCGGAUUCAUUGGGCGUAAAGAGCUCGUAGGCGGCCACUCAAGUCGAAUGUGAAACCUCGAGGCUUAACCUCGAGCCUGCAUUCGAUACUGGGCGGCUAGAGUCUGGUAGGGGGAUCUGGAAUUCCUGGUGUAGCGGUGGAAUGCGCAGAUAUCAGGAAGAACACCCGUGGCUAAGGCGGCUCUCUAGUACGGUACUGACGCUGAGACGCGAAAGCGUGGGGAGCGAACAGG
Molecule: ribosomal RNA, 253 nt
Filed under: uncultured bacterium
Lineage: Bacteria
Description: partial 16S ribosomal RNA
Rfam family: Bacterial small subunit ribosomal RNA
Source: RNAcentral